CGGAAAGUAAGAGUUGGGAUUCUUCUUCGGACCGAGGGAGUAUUACUGCUGCACGUUCCUUUCGUCUUCCCCUUCUUCUCGCUGCGACUCGGCAACUACACUCCCCCGGACCACCGGAGCGUGGAUCCGUGAUGACAGACCUUCCGCUUCCAUGCAUGUCUUAUUCAGGGCGCGGGGUGGUCGCUGGUCCGCCCGGUAGAUGUUCGACGAAUUGCCGCAAUGGUGCUGCACGGCAGAUGUUCGACUAAAACGCCUCUGGAAGACGCGUUCAAGCUGUUAGCCUAGUUGUCUCGUGGAGUGCGGUCUGGUGGCUCUUGGCCACGAUGGCGCGAACUAGACACGUGGCUGGGGUUUCAGUGCUGGAUGCCAUGUAUGUCUCUCGCCAAGCGUUUCACUGUUUGUCCUCUUCUAUACAUGUACUGCCCAUUGUGGUGUUGCUUGACCAUGUACGCGUUGAGUGUCUUAGUUACAAGGGGAGAUUAGACUCCGGAUUACACUAUUGCAACUGGCCUCAAAGGUACUGGAAAUGGAAGUCAACUAGAGCAAAUAGUUCUGGUACUUAUAUGAGCAACUGAACGGGAAACAUAUAGCAAGGAGCACUAAUUAUGUGGAAAAUUUGUCUUGCUGUCUAGCCAAUCUGGAGGAACGAGUUGGAUAGAGCCACAAGGUACAUAGUAAUUUUUUCAUGAGUUCUUAUAGAUGCUUAUGGAAUAAUUAAUUGAUCCUACAAAUUACAUUGAAAGUAAUCAAUGACCAAA
Panicum hallii is the source of this 758-nucleotide long non-coding RNA. RefSeq lists it as uncharacterized. The record is from RefSeq and is a predicted model, not a curated record. NCBI's taxonomy places the organism in Eukaryota, Viridiplantae, Streptophyta, Magnoliopsida, Poales, Poaceae. The transcript is spliced from 2 exons.